RNAcentral lists this ribosomal RNA (542 nucleotides) under Scorpaenodes scaber (pygmy scorpionfish). RNAcentral's name for it is "partial 16S large subunit ribosomal RNA". It matches the Rfam family "Bacterial large subunit ribosomal RNA", at positions 236 to 1050 of the family's 2925-position model. The record is from RNAcentral. Lineage: Eukaryota; Metazoa; Chordata; Actinopteri; Perciformes; Scorpaenidae.
CGCCCAACAGCUAGCCCGCAAACACAACAUCAACCCGCCCCUAUUUAUAACCCUAAAUGUACGAAUAGUAUACCUAAGUAAACCAUUUUUCCCCUUUAGUAUAGGUGAUAGAAAAAGAACUAAGGAGCAAUAGAGAAAGUACCGCAAGGGAUCGCUGAAAGAGAAAUGAAAUAACCCAGUAAAGCCAUCAAAAGCAGAGAUCUGCCCUCGUACCUUUUGCAUCAUGAUUUAGCCAGUGUGCUCAAGCAAAACGCAUUUUAGUUUGAUACCCCGAAACUAAGUGAGCUACUCCAAGACCGCCUAUUUAUAGGGCAAACCCGUCUCUGUGGCAAAAGAGUGGGAUGAUCUUCGAGUAGAGGUGACAGACCUACCGAACUUCGUUAUAGCUGGUUGCCCGGGAAAUGGAUAGAAGUUCAGCCUUUCAGGUUCUUCAUUAACCCAGUAAUAAACCCCUGAUAAAACAAGAAACUGUAAGAGUUAGUCAAAGGGGGUACAGCCCCUUUGAACCAAGAUACAACUUUCACGGGAGGGUUAAGAUCAAA